RNAcentral lists this ribosomal RNA (433 nucleotides) under uncultured bacterium. RNAcentral's name for it is "partial 16S ribosomal RNA". It matches the Rfam family "Bacterial small subunit ribosomal RNA", at positions 29 to 507 of the family's 1533-position model. The record is from RNAcentral.
AACGAACGCUGGCGGCAGGCCUAACACAUGCAAGUCGAGCGGACCUUUCGGGGUCAGCGGCGGACGGGUGAGUAACGCGUGGGAAUAUGCCCUUCUCUACGGAAUAGUCCUGGGAAACUGGGGGUAAUACCGUAUACGCCCUUUGGGGGAAAGAUUUAUCGGGGAAGGAUUAGCCGGCGUUGGAUUAGGUAGUUGGUGGGGUAAUGGCCUACCAAGCCGACGAUCCAUAGCUGGUUUGAGAGGAUGAUCAGCCACACUGGGACUGAGACACGGCCCAGACUCCUACGGGAGGCAGCAGUGGGGAAUCUUAGACAAUGGGGGCAACCCUGAUCUAGCCAUGCCGCGUGAGUGAUGAAGGCCUUAGGGUUGUAAAGCUCUUUCAGCUGGGAAGAUAAUGACGGUACCAGCAGAAGAAGCCCCGGCUAACUCCGUG